GAUGAACGCUGGCGGCGUGCCUAAUACAUGCAAGUCGAGCGAACGUACGAGAAGCUUGCUUCUCUGAUGUUAGCGGCGGACGGGUGAGUAACACGUGGAUAACCUACCUAUAAGACUGGGAUAACUUCGGGAAACCGGAGCUAAUACCGGAUGAUAUUUUGAACCGCAUGGUUCAAAAGUGAAAGACGGUCUUGCUGUCACUUAUAGAUGGAUCCGCGCUGCAUUAGCUAGUUGGUAAGGUAACGGCUUACCAAGGCAACGAUGCAUAGCCGACCUGAGAGGGUGAUCGGCCACACUGGAACUGAGACACGGUCCAGACUCCUACGGGAGGCAGCAGUAGGGAAUCUUCCGCAAUGGGCGAAAGCCUGACGGAGCAACGCCGCGUGAGUGAUGAAGGCCUUCGGAUCGUAAAACUCUGUUAUUAGGGAAGAACAUAUGUGUAAGUAACUGUGCACAUCUUGACGGUACCUAAUCAGAAAGCCACGGCUAACUACGUG
RNAcentral lists this ribosomal RNA (497 nucleotides) under uncultured bacterium. RNAcentral describes it as "partial 16S ribosomal RNA". It matches the Rfam family "Bacterial small subunit ribosomal RNA", at positions 28 to 507 of the family's 1533-position model. The record is from RNAcentral.